GCGGGCGGUUGCUUGUUGGUUGUUGUAGUAACGGGGGAAGCAGCCUUCGGCGGCUGCGUUGAUUCCGGCUGGGGAAGGAGGAGGGAGGUGAAGCUGAGCGUGGUCCCCGCCUGCCGGCCCCGAGCCAUUAGAAGAUGAGACAGGAGUCUGUGCCAUCCAAAUUGUUUGAUCCACUGGGACUGCAAGGAAGAAAGGUCUCUGAGGCCUCUGUCUGCUGACUGUAUGACAGACCCCAAAGGAAAUGCCAGUUGUGAUGGCCCGGGACCUGGAGGAGACAGCAUCAUCCUCAGAGGAUGAGGACCUGGUAAACCAAGAGGAUCACCCAUGUAUUAUGUGGACUGGAGGCUGCAGGAGAAUUCCAGUUUUGGUUUUCCAUGCUGAGGCUAUUUU
This 390-nucleotide long non-coding RNA is filed under the name Rattus norvegicus (Norway rat). RNAcentral describes it as "long non-coding RNA NONRATT024516". The record is from RNAcentral. Lineage: Eukaryota; Metazoa; Chordata; Mammalia; Rodentia; Muridae.